Molecule: transfer RNA, 72 nt
Filed under: Camelus bactrianus (Bactrian camel)
Lineage: Eukaryota; Metazoa; Chordata; Mammalia; Artiodactyla; Camelidae
Also listed under: 2 other names
Rfam family: tRNA
About the family: Transfer RNA (tRNA) molecules are approximately 80 nucleotides in length. Their secondary structure includes four short double-helical elements and three loops (D, anti-codon, and T loops). Further hydrogen bonds mediate the characteristic L-shaped molecular structure. tRNAs have two regions of fundamental functional importance: the anti-codon, which is responsible for specific mRNA codon recognition, and the 3' end, to which the tRNAs corresponding amino acid is attached (by aminoacyl-tRNA synthetases). tRNAs cope with the degeneracy of the genetic code in two manners: having more than one tRNA (with a specific anti-codon) for a particular amino acid; and 'wobble' base-pairing, i.e. permitting non-standard base-pairing at the 3rd anti-codon position.
Source: Rfam by way of RNAcentral
GAGGGUAGAGUUCAAUGGUAGAGCACGUGCUUAGCAUGCACAAGGUCCUGGGUUUAUUCCCCAGUACCUCCA